This 762-nucleotide ribosomal RNA is filed under the name Triticum aestivum (bread wheat). RNAcentral's name for it is "partial small subunit ribosomal RNA". Lineage: Eukaryota; Viridiplantae; Streptophyta; Magnoliopsida; Poales; Poaceae. The record is from RNAcentral.
AUGCCUUCCUGGAACGACGAGGAAACCAGCUCGGAGGAGGAGUGCGAGGUUGUCAGCAUGGACAUGGGACUUAUGGAGGAACCAGACACCACUGUGGAGCCCCUUUUCUGUGGCCAACUUGAGCUUGCUCAUCCCAAGUGCAUUCUGCACCAACUGAGGCCUAUUAAGCGUGUUGCUUUUGAAGGGCCUGUAACAGGAAGGCGUUUCUAUGGCUGCCCAGUCCAGGAAAAUGGUGUGAAUUGUGGUGUUGUAGAGUGGGUUGAUGGGCCUUGGCCAACUUUUCUUCAGAGAUGUUUGUGCAAACUAUGGGAGAUGUUCCAUGAGCAGAACUUUGGAAGGGUACAGGACAAGCAGAAGUUUGAGAAGGAAUUGUCCAGGCUUAAGAGUGAACAUGAAAGGGAGUUGGCCAAGCUUAGGACUGAAAAUGACAAGCUUUGCAUUGAGUACACCAAGCUUGUUGAUGAUGUAUCCAAGAUGUUUGAUUGGCAGGAUGGUAGGGUGGACAAGAAGGUGUACCAGAAACAAGUGGAGGAGGAAGAACUUGAGAAGAAGAAGAAGGAGCUAGAGGAGAAAGCUAUGUUGGAGGUGCAGAUGGAAAAGCUCAAACUUGCAAAAGAGCAGAGGUGCAUUUUGCAGAGCCAAGCUGAUAUCAUCAAGAACACCAAGAAGGCUAUGAAGGCUGUUGAAGUUGACAGAGAUGUUCUUAAGAAGGAGAAGGCAAAGCUUGAGCUUGUUGUUGCUGAGCUGCUGAAAGAAGGGUAA